AGAGUUUGAUCCUGGCUCAGGACGAACGCUGGCGGCGUGCUUAACACAUGCAAGUCGAACGAUGAAGCCUUUCGGGGUGGAUUAGUGGCGAACGGGUGAGUAACACGUGGGCAAUCUGCCCUGCACUCUGGGACAAGCCCUGGAAACGGGGUCUAAUACCGGAUAAUACUUUUCUCUGCAUGGGGGAAGGUUAAAAGCUCCGGCGGUGCAGGAUGAGCCCGCGGCCUAUCAGCUUGUUGGUGGGGUGAUGGCCUACCAAGGCGACGACGGGUAGCCGGCCUGAGAGGGCGACCGGCCACACUGGGACUGAGACACGGCCCAGACUCCUACGGGAGGCAGCAGUGGGGAAUAUUGCACAAUGGGCGAAAGCCUGAUGCAGCGACGCCGCGUGAGGGAUGACGGCCUUCGGGUUGUAAACCUCUUUCAGCAGGGAAGAAGCGAAAGUGACGGUACCUGCAGAAGAAGCGCCGGCUAACUACGUGCCAGCAGCCGCGGUAAUACGUAGGGCGCAAGCGUUGUCCGGAAUUAUUGGGCGUAAAGAGCUCGUAGGCGGUUUGUCACGUCGGAUGUGAAAGCCCGGGGCUUAACCCCGGGUCUGCAUUCGAUACGGGCAGACUAGAGUGUGGUAGGGGAGAUCGGAAUUCCUGGUGUAGCGGUGAAAUGCGCAGAUAUCAGGAGGAACACCGGUGGCGAAGGCGGAUCUCUGGGCCAUUACUGACGCUGAGGAGCGAAAGCGUGGGGAGCGAACAGGAUUAGAUACCCCCGUAGUCC
Molecule: ribosomal RNA, 771 nt
Filed under: uncultured bacterium
Lineage: Bacteria
Description: bacterial SSU rRNA
Rfam family: Bacterial small subunit ribosomal RNA
Source: RNAcentral